RNAcentral lists this ribosomal RNA (475 nucleotides) under uncultured bacterium. Its description in RNAcentral is "bacterial SSU rRNA". It matches the Rfam family "Bacterial small subunit ribosomal RNA", at positions 26 to 518 of the family's 1533-position model. The record is from RNAcentral.
AGGACGAACGCUGGCGGCGUGCCUAACACAUGCAAGUCGAGCGAGGAGAUCCUUCGGGAUGAUCCUAGCGGCGGACGGGUGAGUAACACGUGGGCGAACCUGCCUCAUAGAGAGGAAUAGCCUUCCGAAAGGAGAUUAAUACCUCAUAACAUUGCAGUUUCGCAUGGAACAGCAAUUAAAGGAGCAAUCCGCUAUGAGAUGGGCCCGCGGCGCAUUAGCUAGUUGGUGAGGUAACGGCUCACCAAGGCGACGAUGCGUAGCCGACCUGAGAGGGUGAUCGGCCACAUUGGGACUGAGACACGGCCCAGACUCCUACGGGAGGCAGCAGUGGGGAAUAUUGCACAAUGGGGGAAACCCUGAUGCAAGCAACGCCGCGUGAGUGAUGACGGCCUUCGGGUUGUAAAGCUCUGUCUUCAGGGACGAUAAUGACGGUACCUGAGGAGGAAGCCACGGCUAACUACGUGCCAGCAGCCGC